RNAcentral lists this ribosomal RNA (459 nucleotides) under uncultured bacterium. RNAcentral describes it as "partial 16S ribosomal RNA". It matches the Rfam family "Bacterial small subunit ribosomal RNA", at positions 338 to 795 of the family's 1533-position model. The record is from RNAcentral.
CCUACGGGAGGCAGCAGUGAGGAAUAUUGGUCAAUGGGCGAGAGCCUGCACCAGCCAAGUCGCGUGAAGGAUGAAGGAUCUAUGGUUUGUAAACUUCUUUUAUAUGGGAAUAAAGUGAGGAACGUGUUCCUUUUGUAUGUACCAUAUGAAUAAGCAUCGGCUAACUCAGUGCCAGCAGCCGCGGUAAUACGGAGGAUGCGAGCGUUAUCCGGAUUUAUUGGGUUUAAAGGGUGCGUAGGUGGUUAAUUAAGUCAGCGGUGAAAGUUUGUGGCUCAACCAUAAAAUUGCCGUGGAAACUGGUUGACUUGAGUAUAUUUGAGGUAGGCGGAAUGCGUGGUGUAGCGGUGAAAUGCAUAGAUAUCACGCAGAACUCCGAUUGCGAAGGCAGCUUACUAAACUAUAACUGACACUGAAGCACGAAAGCGUGGGGAUCAAACAGGAUUAGAUACCCCAGUAGUC